RNAcentral lists this ribosomal RNA (465 nucleotides) under Vreelandella stevensii. RNAcentral describes it as "partial 16S ribosomal RNA". It matches the Rfam family "Bacterial small subunit ribosomal RNA", at positions 338 to 795 of the family's 1533-position model. The record is from RNAcentral. Lineage: Bacteria; Pseudomonadati; Pseudomonadota; Gammaproteobacteria; Oceanospirillales; Halomonadaceae.
CCUACGGGAGGCAGCAGUGGGGAAUAUUGGACAAUGGGGGCAACCCUGAUCCAGCCAUGCCGCGUGUGUGAAGAAGGCCCUCGGGUUGUAAAGCACUUUCAGUGAGGAAGAACACCUGGUGGUUAAUACCCAUCAGGAAAGACAUCACUCACAGAAGAAGCACCGGCUAACUCCGUGCCAGCAGCCGCGGUAAUACGGAGGGUGCGAGCGUUAAUCGGAAUUACUGGGCGUAAAGCGCGCGUAGGUGGCUUGAUAAGCCGGUUGUGAAAGCCCCGGGCUCAACCUGGGAACGGCAUCCGGAACUGGCAAGCUAGAGUGCAGGAGAGGAAGGUAGAAUUCCCGGUGUAGCGGUGAAAUGCGUAGAGAUCGGGAGGAAUACCAGUGGCGAAGGCGGCCUUCUGGACUGACACUGACACUGAGGUGCGAAAGCGUGGGUAGCAAACAGGAUUAGAUACCCGAGUAGUC